UGAGGAAUAUUGGUCAAUGGGCGGGAGCCUGAACCAGCCAUGCCGCGUGAAGGCGAGUGCCCUACGGGCGUUAAACUUCUUUUGUGCGGGAGCAAUAAGGGCCACGCGUGGCCCGAUGAGAGUACCGCACGAAUAAGCAUCGGCUAACUCCGUGCCAGCAGCCGCGGUAAUACGGAGGAUCCAAGCGUUAUCCGGAUUUAUUGGGUUUAAAGGGUGCGCAGGCGGAAUGUCAAGUCAGCGGUAAAAUUUCGGGGCUCAACCCCGUUGUGCCGUUGAAACUGGCGUUCUUGAGUGAGCGAGAAGUAUGCGGAAUGCGUGGUGUAGCGGUGAAAUGCGUAGAUAUCACACAGAACACCGAUUGCGAAGGCAUCUCACGAAUCCGCGAUUGACGCUGAUGCAC
This 400-nucleotide ribosomal RNA is filed under the name uncultured bacterium. RNAcentral's name for it is "bacterial SSU rRNA". It matches the Rfam family "Bacterial small subunit ribosomal RNA", at positions 355 to 754 of the family's 1533-position model. The record is from RNAcentral.